CUAGGGGUAUGUGAGCUACCAUCAUCAGCCCUUUCUUUCCACAUCUAAUCUCAGCUUGCAGCAUCAGAACUGCAGGAGGAAGAGCAUCUACUUUUGGAGACAUGGAGAGAAAGGAGGCUGACUAAGUAUGAAGGAAUUCUGGGGACUUUUAUGCAAUGCUUGAGACUUGCUCAUCAUCUCAGAAAAACCUUCUCCUUCUGUAGCAAACUGACUGGAACUGAAUUGUUCUUCCCAUAGAAGUGCUUUGGGGGAAAAGCUAAGCUACAGGCCCCUCAGAUGGUCCUGUUUUCGGCAAAGAAGACAAAACAAGGAAAUGAGCUAUCAUCCCUGCCUUCCAGAG
This is a long non-coding RNA of Zonotrichia albicollis (white-throated sparrow), 340 nucleotides long. RefSeq lists it as uncharacterized. Lineage: Eukaryota; Metazoa; Chordata; Aves; Passeriformes; Passerellidae. The record is from RefSeq and is a predicted model, not a curated record.